Small nuclear RNA from Sceloporus undulatus (fence lizard), 102 nucleotides. The record is from RefSeq and is a predicted model, not a curated record. NCBI's taxonomy places the organism in Eukaryota, Metazoa, Chordata, Lepidosauria, Squamata, Phrynosomatidae.
AAUAGCAUACUGUGGCAUACUAAAAUUGGAACAAUACAGAGAAGAUUAGCAUGGCUCUUGCGCAAGGAUGACAUGCAAAUUCGUGAAAUGUUCCAUAUUAAA